Molecule: ribosomal RNA, 353 nt
Filed under: uncultured Dentiscutataceae
Lineage: Eukaryota; Fungi; Glomeromycota; Glomeromycetes; Diversisporales; Gigasporaceae
Description: SSU rRNA
Rfam family: Eukaryotic small subunit ribosomal RNA
Source: RNAcentral
AGCAGCCGCGGUAAUUCCAGCUCCAAUAGCGUAUAUUAAAGUUGUUGCAGUUAAAAAGCUCGUAGUUGAAUUUCGGGGUUCUACCGUUGGUCAGGCUAUUGCUUGUACUGGCGCGUAGAAUUUCUACCUUCUGGGGAACCAUUAUGUUAUUAAUUUAGCGUGGUAGGAAACCAGGACCUUUACCUUGAAAAAAUUAGAGUGUUCAAAGCAGGCUUAUGUCUGAAUACAUUAGCAUGGAAUAAUAAAAUAGGACGGUGGUCCUGUCUUGUUGGUUUCUGAAUCACCGUAAUGAUUAAUAGGGAUAGUUGGGGGCAUUAGUAUUCAAUUGUCAGAGGUGAAAUUCUUGGAUUGAU